CGGAUUGUAGUCUGNAACCCGACUACAUGAAGCCGGAAUCGCUAGUAAUCGCGGAUCAGAAUGCCGCGGUGAAUACGUUCCCGGGUCUUGUACACACCGCCCGUCACACCAUGGGAGCCGGUAAUGCCCGAAGUCUGUGGCCCAACCGAAAGGAAGGAGCAGCCGAAGGCAGGCCCGGUGACUGGGGUGAAGUCGUAACAAGGUAAC
RNAcentral lists this ribosomal RNA (207 nucleotides) under uncultured bacterium. Its description in RNAcentral is "partial 16S ribosomal RNA". It matches the Rfam family "Bacterial small subunit ribosomal RNA", at positions 1294 to 1500 of the family's 1533-position model. The record is from RNAcentral.